RNAcentral lists this ribosomal RNA (292 nucleotides) under uncultured bacterium. Its description in RNAcentral is "partial 16S ribosomal RNA". It matches the Rfam family "Bacterial small subunit ribosomal RNA", at positions 505 to 796 of the family's 1533-position model. The record is from RNAcentral.
GUGUCAGCCGCCGCGGUAAUACGGAGGGUGCGAGCGUUGUCCGGAAUCACUGGGCGUAAAGGGCGCGUAGGCGGCCUGGUAAGUCGGAUGUCAAAUUCCGGGGCUCAACUCCGGGGCGCCAUCCGAGACUGUCAGGCUCGAGCACGGCAGGGGCGAGUGGAAUUCCCGGUGUAGCGGUGGAAUGCGUAGAGAUCGGGAAGAACACCCGUGGCGAAGGCGGCUCGCUGGGCCGUUGCUGACGCUGAGGCGCGAAAGCGUGGGGAGCAAACAGGAUUAGAAACCCCUGUAGUCC